Molecule: non-coding RNA, 1304 nt
Organism: Gossypium raimondii (Peruvian cotton)
Lineage: Eukaryota; Viridiplantae; Streptophyta; Magnoliopsida; Malvales; Malvaceae
Source: Rfam
UUCAUGGAGAGUUCGAUCCUGGCUCAGAAUGAACACUAGCGGCAUUCUUAACACAUGCAAGUCAGACGAGAAGUGGUGUUUCCAGUGGCGGAAGGGUGAGUAACGCGUAAGGAACUAUCUUUGGGAGGGGAACAACAGCUGGAAACGGCUGCUAAUACGCCAUAGGCUGAGGAGCAAAAAGAGGAAUCUGCCCCAGGAGGGGCUCGCGUUUGAUUAGUUAGUUGGUGAGGCAAUAGCUUACUAAGGCAAUGAUCAGUAGCUGGUCCGAUAGGAUGAUCAGCCACACUUGGACUAAGAAACGAGUUAGACUCCUAAGAGAGGCAGUAGUGGGGAAUUUUUCGUAAUAGGUGAAAGCCUGACGGAGCAAUACCGCGUAGAGGUAGAAGACCUAUGGGUUGUGAACUUCUUUUCCCAAAGAAGAAGAAAUAACGAUAUCCGGGGAAUAAGCAUCGACUAAAUUUGUGCCAGCAGCCGCAGUAAUACAUAGGAUGCAAGUGUUAUUUGGAAUAAUUGGGCGUAAAGCGUAUGUUGGUGGCUUUUUAAGUCCACCGUCAAAUACCAAGACUCAACCCUAGACAGGCAGUGGAAACUACUAAGUUGGACUACGGUAGAGGUAAAGGGGAUUUUCGGUGGAACGGUAAAAUACGUAGAGAUCGAAAAGAACACCAACGGUAAAAGCACUCUGCUGGAUACUAGGCGCUGUGCGUAUCGACCUGUGUAGUGUUGUAGCUAACAUGUUAAGUAUCCAGCCUAGGGAGUACGUUCACAAGAAUGAAACUCAAAAGAAUUGAUAGGGGCUCGCACAAGCGGUAGAGUAUGUGGUUUAAUUCGGUGCAAAGCGAAGAACCUUACCAAGGCUUGACAUGUCGCGAAUCCUUUUGAAAGAGAGGGGUACAUUUGGGAAUGCAGACACAGGUGGUGCAUUAUUAUUGUCAGCUCGUGCCUUAAGGUGUUGGGUUAAGUCAUCAUGCCCCUUAUACCUUGGGCGACACAUGCUACAAUGGACGGGAUAAAGGGUCGCGAUCCUGCAAGGGUGAACUAACUCCAAAAACCCGUCCUCAGUUUGGAUUGCAAGCUGUAACUCGUCUGCAUGAAGCCAGAAUUGCUAGUAAUCACCGGUCAGUAAUACGACGGUGAAUUCAUUCCCGGGCAUUGUACACAUCUCUCGUCACACUAUGGGUGCUGGCCAUACCCGAAGUUGUUACCUUAACCUCAAGGAGAGGAUGUUGAAGGCAGGGCUAGUGACUAGAGUGAAGUCAUAACAAGGUAGCCGUACUAGAAGGUGGGACUGGAUCAUCUCCUUU